RNAcentral lists this ribosomal RNA (510 nucleotides) under uncultured bacterium. RNAcentral's name for it is "bacterial SSU rRNA". It matches the Rfam family "Bacterial small subunit ribosomal RNA", at positions 153 to 697 of the family's 1533-position model. The record is from RNAcentral.
GAAACUUGUGCUAAUACCGUAUACGCCCUACGGGGGAAAGAUUUAUCGCUAUUGGAUGGGCCCGCGUUGGAUUAGUUUGUUGGUGAGGUAACGGCUCACCAAGGCUACGAUCCAUAGCUGGUCUGAGAGGAUGAUCAGCCACACUGGGACUGAGACACGGCCCAGACUCCUACGGGAGGCAGCAGUGGGGAAUAUUGGACAAUGGGGGAAACCCUGAUCCAGCCAUGCCGCGUGAGUGAAGAAGGCCCUAGGGUUGUAAAGCUCUUUCGCUAGGGAAGAUAAUGACGGUACCUAGUAAAGAAGCCCCGGCUAACUUCGUGCCAGCAGCCGCGGUAAUACGAAGGGGGCUAGCGUUGUUCGGAAUUACUGGGCGUAAAGCGCACGUAGGCGGAUUGUUAAGUUAGAGGUGAAAUCCCGGGGCUCAACCCCGGAACUGCCUUUGAUACUGGCAGUCUAGAGACUGGAAGAGGUGAGUGGAAUUCCGAGUGUAGAGGUGAAAUUCGUAGAUAU